UACGUAGGGGGCAAGCGUUAUCCGGAUUUACUGGGUGUAAAGCGAGCGCAGGUGGUUUAUUAAGUCUGGUGUAAAAGGCAGUGGCUCAACCAUUGUAUGCAUUGGAAACUGGUAGACUUGAGUGCAGGAGAGGAGAGUGGAAUUCCAUGUGUAGCGGUGAAAUGCGUAGAUAUAUGGAGGAACACCGGUGGCGAAAGCGGCUCUCUGGCCUGUAACUGACACUGAGGCUCGAAAGCGUGGGGAGCAAACAGG
RNAcentral lists this ribosomal RNA (252 nucleotides) under uncultured bacterium. Its description in RNAcentral is "partial 16S ribosomal RNA". It matches the Rfam family "Bacterial small subunit ribosomal RNA", at positions 524 to 776 of the family's 1533-position model. The record is from RNAcentral.